GACGAACGCUGGCGGCGUGCUUAACACAUGCAAGUCGAACGGAAAGGCCCUGCUUUUGUGGGGUGCUCGAGUGGCGAACGGGUGAGUAACACGUGAGUAACCUGCCCUUGACUUUGGGAUAACUUCAGGAAACUGGGGCUAAUACCGGAUAGGAGCUCCUGCUGCAUGGUGGGGGUUGGAAAGUUUCGGCGGUUGGGGAUGGACUCGCGGCUUAUCAGCUUGUUGGUGGGGUAGUGGCUUACCAAGGCUUUGACGGGUAGCCGGCCUGAGAGGGUGACCGGGCACAUUGGGACUGAGAUACGGCCCAGACUCAUACGGGAGGCAGCAGUGGGAAAUAUUGCACAAUGGGCGGAAGCCGGAUGCAGCAACGCCGCGUGCGGGAGGACGGCCUUCGGGUUGGAAACCGCUUUCGCCUGUGACGAAGCGUGAGUGACGGUAAUGGGUAAAGAAGCACCGGCUAACUACGUG
This 468-nucleotide ribosomal RNA is filed under the name uncultured bacterium. RNAcentral describes it as "partial 16S ribosomal RNA". It matches the Rfam family "Bacterial small subunit ribosomal RNA", at positions 28 to 507 of the family's 1533-position model. The record is from RNAcentral.